RNAcentral lists this ribosomal RNA (253 nucleotides) under uncultured bacterium. RNAcentral's name for it is "partial 16S ribosomal RNA". It matches the Rfam family "Bacterial small subunit ribosomal RNA", at positions 524 to 776 of the family's 1533-position model. The record is from RNAcentral.
UACGUAGGAUGCAAGCGUUGACAGGAUUUAUUGGGUUUAAAGGGUGCGUAGGCGGCCUAUUAAGUUAGUGGUGAAAACGUUCGGCUUAACCGGAUACCCGCCAUUGAUACUGAUAGACUUGAGUGCGACAGAGGGUGUUGGAAUGUGUGGUGUAGCGGUGAAAUGCUUAGAUAUCACGCAGAACACCAAUUGCGAAGGCAGAUGCCUAUGUCGUAACUGACGCUGAGGCAGGAAAGCGUGGGGAGCAAACAGG